GGGUAUAUAACUCAAUUGGUAGAGUACUUGACUGAUAUUCAAGAGGUUAUAGGUUCAAAUCCUGUUAUACCCA
Molecule: transfer RNA, 73 nt
Filed under: Crassvirales sp.
Lineage: Duplodnaviria; Heunggongvirae; Uroviricota; Caudoviricetes; Crassvirales
Description: tRNA-Ile
Rfam family: tRNA
About the family: Transfer RNA (tRNA) molecules are approximately 80 nucleotides in length. Their secondary structure includes four short double-helical elements and three loops (D, anti-codon, and T loops). Further hydrogen bonds mediate the characteristic L-shaped molecular structure. tRNAs have two regions of fundamental functional importance: the anti-codon, which is responsible for specific mRNA codon recognition, and the 3' end, to which the tRNAs corresponding amino acid is attached (by aminoacyl-tRNA synthetases). tRNAs cope with the degeneracy of the genetic code in two manners: having more than one tRNA (with a specific anti-codon) for a particular amino acid; and 'wobble' base-pairing, i.e. permitting non-standard base-pairing at the 3rd anti-codon position.
Source: RNAcentral